UACCAGCACCCCGAGUGGUCGGGACGAUUAUUGGGCCUAAAGCAUCCGUAGCCGGUUUUACAAGUCUUCCGUUAAAUCCACCUGCUUAACAGAUGGGCUGCGGAGGAUACUAUAGAGCUAGGAGGCGGGAGAGGCAAGCGGUACUUAGUGGGUAGGGGUAAAAUCCGUUGAUCCAUUGAAGACCACCAGUGGCGAAGGCGGCUUGCCAGAACGCACUCGACGGUGAGGGAUGAAAGCUGGGGGAGCAAACCGG
Molecule: ribosomal RNA, 253 nt
Filed under: uncultured bacterium
Lineage: Bacteria
Description: partial 16S ribosomal RNA
Rfam family: Archaeal small subunit ribosomal RNA
Source: RNAcentral